UCUUGGUUACCGUUACCUGAGUGAGUGAAUCAAACAAACCAGCGACAGUCCCAUUACAGCCGCAAAUGCGGGGUAAGUCGUGAGUUCCGCAGCUCUGGGUGAGAAUUCCAUACUUUAACAAAUUAGAUAGAUGAUAUUUUGAAGGGAGAAAUCCGCUUUCAAGAAAAAGAUCUUUACUUCACACAAUCUCGAUUUGAAUUAUCAUUUGGUGAACCGGGCAUCUCGGACAAAGCCUCAUUACGUUAACGGAGCCCCAACCAAACACCUCCUGGGUGGUUUUGGUAGGGUUCUUGGGGGCUCCAAAUGCAUGGGCCAAGUGCAAAGAUAAGCAAACGGAACGUAAAAAGACAUGUCGUGUUGUCGACAAUGUUUCAUCAACUCUCGCAAAAUGUGUUUUGCCAAAAGAAGUUGUCGAGAUAUCCAAGAGUUCAAAGUCAACGAAAGACAUUUCUUUCGACAGCAUUGCUACCACUUCUAUACCAACACAAAAGGUUCAGGUGCCCCCAUUGUUUUCAGCCGUCCACUGGGAGUUAUUUCUCCCGUCCAAACUCCAUCAGUAUAACUGCAAAGAAUGAAAC
Molecule: long non-coding RNA, 578 nt
Filed under: Triticum aestivum (bread wheat)
Lineage: Eukaryota; Viridiplantae; Streptophyta; Magnoliopsida; Poales; Poaceae
Description: long non-coding RNA (TAES_LNC013620)
Source: RNAcentral